AUCUUCCUAUACCCGCCGUCCAUGGCAGCUUUAUGCCCUCCAUGGACGGUCGAUCGUUUAGUUUGCACGCGCUGUACAUCGCUUGAGGAGUACGAUUAUUAUUGCUGUGUUCGCGGUCACCGUCACCACCGGCGGUGUCCUCUCCUCGCCUCCUCCCUCCUCUCUUGUCCCUCUCCUAUCUCAAAUCCCCGUGCCCCAAACUUCCCUUUUUGUGUGCCCUAAACUAGCGAGUAUGGCCACUUUCCAACUCGCGAGAUCCGGCUUCUCGCCGGCGCUCCGCCUCUCGCCGCCCGCCCUGCGGCGGCCCUCGGGUCUGCUUGGCCCCGUCCGCAUCCGCUGCCGCCUCCCGGAGGACAAUGGCGGCGAACCCGACGGUUCAGGGUGGGAGGAGCCGCCGUAGUCGCUGUUCAUGAAGGAGCUGAGGCGGCGGGGGAUGACCCCGACGUCCCUAUUGGAGGACAGCGAAAGGGGGGCGCUUGGAAGGGGCCAGAGGGAGAUGGAAGCCAAGGAAGAUAGCGGCAACGGCGGCGGUGGCCGCAGGGAGCGGGGGAGCAGGAACGGGGUGGCCUCGGUGGAGCUCGAGAAGGGGAUGACGAGGCCGAGGGAGCGGUUCAUGUCGGUGAACAGCGAGGGAUUCGAGAUCGGUAUCCGUCGUCACCUCUUCCUCUGCUCUGCAAAUUCAAAUUGCAUUGUCAUCAAACUGUUGCUAUUUGAUCAUUCUCUUGCAAUCACCAGCUUUCACUUUGAUCACUCUUUUGGAUUCAGUGAGGAUCGAUCACAGAUUACCGAGGGUGCAGUGUUGGAAUCCCGAGGGACAUGUAGAGAAGAAGCCUAUAAAUAAGCGUUAUCCUUAAAUUGAGCAAAAUCCUUGGCCGAGUUGCUCUACAGAAUUAGCAAGAUGUGCAAUCAUGGAUUCAUCACUUGUAUUUGAAGAAAAAAGACUACUGCACAUUAAAGAGUGUUCCUGCAAGUCCAUCUGAUGCCAUGAUCACUAAAAUCAUUGAACAAGAAAGAUUACUAUGUUCUUGAGUUGCUAAGCCACUUACUCCUCUCUUGAUCAUUGAGAAUCCUUUACUUAUGGAUUCAACUCUUCAACAUCAGGAGAAGGGUGAAUCAGUGAAAGGCAGCUAACUGUAUAAUUAAACAUCUACAAUAAGUUUUUGUAUCAAAAGAUGCAUCGAGGUGAAGUAUUUAUAUAUACUAGCAGGAACGCUCGCUCUAGUUACUCUAGUUAUGGUUGAAUGACUGAUGGAACACUUGAGAUCUAAGGAGGUAAUCUAACAUGCAGAAUCCUCAGGCAUGUGGACAAUCUUGACAUCAAGUUAUCAAAGACUGCUGUUAUGAUGACAACAUACAAGCAUUCAUGCUCUGCUAAUCCAUGUCUUUCCUAUCUUAUCGUUAUCUCUCUCUCUCUCUCUCUCUCUCUCUCUCUCUCUCUCUUAUAAAGGGUUUACUUCCACGGGCAAAACUGCUCCUCACAAUUGGUGGAACAUUCUUUCUGGGGUUUUGGCCUUUGAUCCUGGUUACUGCUGGUGUUUUCGCAGCUCUGCAUACAUGUUUUGGCCCGAGUUUUGUGCAUGAUGCAAGCAAGUUGGCAGCUUCACCGCCUCCAUAUAUCGAUCCGUAUUCAUUCCUCGAAGAUGAGAGACUGCCGCACGCAGCAAACUAAGUGAUCCGAUGUUGAAGUCGCAUGCCAAAAACGAGUUUGUCUGCUAUGCCUGUAAACUUGUACUCAAUAUCUUGCCAUGGCAAUUCGUAGUAUGCUGCCUAUA
Molecule: long non-coding RNA, 1772 nt
Organism: Musa acuminata AAA Group (dessert banana)
Lineage: Eukaryota; Viridiplantae; Streptophyta; Magnoliopsida; Zingiberales; Musaceae
Exons: 3
Source: RefSeq, a predicted model, not a curated record